GUCAAGAAAGCAGAAACUGAACUUAAGCAAGCUCUGUGGCUAACUUCUGUGUACGAGAAAUAUGAGGAAUAGAAGAACAAAUUAGGUGGCAGCCCCAGAAAAAAAACAAAUUCAAAACAUGGCAUGUUCUGUACGACAACUGACCCAGUUUCUGAAACAAGUAAACUGAGGUGGAAUUUCCUGUCUUCAAAUAAUACACCAUCCUGAAGAAUUCUAACAUUUGUACCCAGGCAACACAUCACAACAACAAUUUUACAAAUAAGAAGACUGUGUUCAAGAGAGGCCUUUUUGGCAAUUCACAGGAGAAAUAAAAAUGUAACUUCCAG
This 326-nucleotide long non-coding RNA is filed under the name Homo sapiens (human). RNAcentral's name for it is "HSALNT0345763". Lineage: Eukaryota; Metazoa; Chordata; Mammalia; Primates; Hominidae. The record is from RNAcentral.